ACUAUUUUGGCAGAAAAGUGCGAUGAAUUUAGAAUUCAUUAAUGUAAGUUAUUUUCUUACAAUUAGUA
RNAcentral lists this transfer RNA (68 nucleotides) under Paracercion v-nigrum. RNAcentral describes it as "tRNA-Leu". It matches the Rfam family "tRNA". From Rfam's summary of the family: Transfer RNA (tRNA) molecules are approximately 80 nucleotides in length. Their secondary structure includes four short double-helical elements and three loops (D, anti-codon, and T loops). The record is from RNAcentral. Lineage: Eukaryota; Metazoa; Arthropoda; Insecta; Odonata; Coenagrionidae.